Molecule: transfer-messenger RNA, 351 nt
Filed under: Thermacetogenium phaeum
Lineage: Bacteria; Bacillati; Bacillota; Clostridia; Thermoanaerobacterales; Thermoanaerobacteraceae
Also listed under: 1 other name
Description: Standard tmRNA
Rfam family: transfer-messenger RNA
About the family: Bacterial tmRNA, also known as 10Sa RNA or SsrA, is named for its dual tRNA and mRNA-like properties. Its role is to liberate the mRNA from a stalled ribosome.
Source: RNAcentral
GGGGGCGUACUGGUUUCGACGGGGGAAUUAGGAGCAAAGGUAGCGAGCCGGGGUUCCACCCGCCCGUAAAACGGUGGAAGAAAAAUAACUGCCAACAACGAAUACGCUCUGGCUGCUUAAUUAAGCGGCCCGUCCACCCGGCCUCGCCUGCGGGCCGGUGAUGGGCGUCACCCAGCAGGCUCACCCGCCGGGUCCCGGGCCCCGGGGGAGCGGCGGGAAACCUCACGGGGCUAGCCCGAAGAAAGCCUGCCGGCGGGCGUUCUGAGGGCGAAAGGAAAACACCGGCUGCGCUCGGAGAAACCUUUGUAGCCGUUCUUUCGGACAGGGGUUCGACUCCCCUCGCCUCCACCA